CCAGGUGGCUGGAUGGCCGCUUCCCAUGGGAUCCCAUGGGGAGAGGAAAGUCCGGGCUCCACGGAAAUACGGUGCCGGGUAACGCCCGGCGGGGGCGACCCCAGGGAAAGUGCCACAGAAAGAAAACCGCCAGCCCAGCGCCGGAGUUCGUCUCCGGAGUCGGCAGGCAAGGGUGAAAGGGUGCGGUAAGAGCGCACCGCGGCUCCGGCAACGGAGACGGCAUGGUAAACCCCACCGGGAGCAAGACCGAAUAGGGGCGGCUUGGCCACAAGCCUAGCGCAUUUCCGCGCCGUCGCCCGGGUUGGUCGCGUGAGGCGUCCGGUAACGGGCGUCCCAGAUGAAUGGUCAUCCACCGUCCCCUUCCGGGAAACCGGAUCGCGGGCGGGGACAGAACCCGGCUUACAGGCCACCUGGCACC
Molecule: RNase P RNA, 418 nt
Filed under: Skermanella mucosa
Lineage: Bacteria; Pseudomonadati; Pseudomonadota; Alphaproteobacteria; Rhodospirillales; Azospirillaceae
Description: RNase P RNA component class A
Rfam family: Bacterial RNase P class A
About the family: Ribonuclease P (RNase P) is a ubiquitous endoribonuclease, found in archaea, bacteria and eukarya as well as chloroplasts and mitochondria. Its best characterised activity is the generation of mature 5'-ends of tRNAs by cleaving the 5'-leader elements of precursor-tRNAs. Cellular RNase Ps are ribonucleoproteins.
Source: RNAcentral